This is a non-coding RNA of Camellia sinensis, 1529 nucleotides long. The record is from RefSeq and is a predicted model, not a curated record. NCBI's taxonomy places the organism in Eukaryota, Viridiplantae, Streptophyta, Magnoliopsida, Ericales, Theaceae.
UAGCCCAAUUGGCGCUCGAUCAAAACCCCCCAAAAUUUCAUCCCAAAAAUCCCUAACACCAUUCUCCCUCACAAUCACAGAGAUUUCGAGUUCCCAAUCACAGAGACGAGGACGAGUUCGGGUUCACUGACGAUCACAGAUAUUUCGAGUUCCCAAUCACAGAGAUUUCGAGUGUUCACCGACGAUCUCUCUCUCGACGAGCGACGACGGCUAGUAGUCUCAAUCGCUCUCGACGACGGCUAGCGGUGGUGCGGCGACGGCGUAUUACGAUCCCUCUCUCUCUCUCUCUCUCACACACACACACACACACUGAUGACGGUGUGGCAGAAAAGUAGGGCGAGAGAAAAAAAGGGGUUUAUUAUGAAUAUUCAGUGAUCAGCCUUUUGAUGAUUCUCAGCUGGAAAGUGCUCAGCAACAGCCAUCUGGAAGGGAACAUCAACCUGCAUCUGGAGGUGAACAGCUUCAGGAGCCCCCCGCAGAAGUUCCUCAACAGGAGGAUGUUCCUUCUGCAGAACAGCAACCUGCAUUUGAGACUCAAACUGUGUCACGGAAAAUGGAAAUCCCUAAUAAUAGGUUGGAGUUCUCAUUGGCAAGGCUGGUGAUACUAUAUGGUUUCUACAAAUCAAUUCAGGUGCCAAGAUUCAGAUCACAAGGGAUGCUGAUGCUGAUCCAUAUUCUGCCACCCGGCCUGUGGAGCUAAUAGGAACUUUGGAAAAUAUAAACAUGGCUGAGAAACUGAUAAAGGAUGUUAUAGCUGAGGCUGAUGCGGGGGGGUUCCCCCUCCCUUGUGGCUAGGGGUUUCGGUAUGGUGCAGGCUGCUGGCACUGUGGAACAAGUUCUCAUACAAGUUCCAAAUCAGAAGGUUGGUGUAAUCAUAGGUAAAGGUGGGGAGACUAUUAAAAAUCUACAGACGAGAUCAGGGGCAUGCAUUCAGGUAGUUGAUAUCAUAUGGCCCUGCUUUGAAAUGUAUGUGAAAAUAAGUACAAGAAUUCUCAACAGAGGUAAUGACCGUCCUUCAUAAAAGUGAUACCAUUUCACAAAUACUGACAAUGUUAUUUUGUUUAGUUGAUACCACAACAUCUUCCUGAUGGGGACCAAUCUAAAGAAAGGACAGUGCGCGUGGCUAGUGAUAAGAAGCAGAUUGAGAUGGCAAGAGAAAUGAUAAAGGAAGUUAUGAAUCAGGGUUCAUUGCUUUGAUUGCAACUUUGGCUAGCCGAGAUGUGAUCCUAGGAGAAAGUUCAUCUGUAGUUGAUUCAAAGGACCAAGAUGUUGAUGGACAUGUUUUAGUACAAUAUUAUGGGAUACAUGAGAGUGCAUGGGUUGAUCCAGCUAGAGACCUUUCACAGUUUGAUGAUAUAUUUCCAGUUUGUUUCUUGUGGAAUGUAAGCGUGUGAAGAUUGCGAUUAACUUUUGUUUUUGUUACCCACGGAAGAAUCAUGAGGGAAACUUUUGUUUUUGAUUUAUGUUAUUUUGAAUUGUGAACAACAUUAUGUAUUUAAACAUUGUAUAUGUAUUAUGCAAUAUUAUGU